This 320-nucleotide ribosomal RNA is filed under the name uncultured soil bacterium. RNAcentral's name for it is "bacterial SSU rRNA". It matches the Rfam family "Bacterial small subunit ribosomal RNA", at positions 26 to 371 of the family's 1533-position model. The record is from RNAcentral.
AAAACGAACGCUGGCGGCAUGCCUAAUACAUGCAAGUCGAACGAAGGCUUCGGCCUUAGUGGCGCACGGGUGCGUAACGCGUGGGAAUCUGCCCCUUGGUUCGGAAUAACAGUUGGAAACGACUGCUAAUACCGGAUGAUGACGAAAGUCCAAAGAUUUAUCGCCAAGGGAUGAGCCCGCGUAGGAUUAGCUAGUUGGUGAGGUAAAGGCUCACCAAGGCGACGAUCCUUAGCUGGUCUGAGAGGAUGAUCAGCCACACUGGGACUGAGACACGGCCCAGACUCCGUACGGGAGGCAGCAGUAAGGGAAUAGUUGGACAA